Molecule: ribosomal RNA, 358 nt
Filed under: uncultured soil bacterium
Lineage: Bacteria
Description: bacterial SSU rRNA
Rfam family: Bacterial small subunit ribosomal RNA
Source: RNAcentral
AGAACGAACGCUGGCGGCAUGCCUAAUACAUGCAAGUCGAACGAACACUUCGGUGUUAGUGGCGCACGGGUGCGUAACGCGUGGGAAUCUGCCCUUGGGUUCGGAAUAACAGUUGGAAACGACUGCUAAUACCGGACGAUAUCGAAAGAUCAAAGAUUUAUCGCCCAGGGAUGAGCCCGCGUAGGAUUAGCUAGUUGGUGAGGUAAAGGCUCGACCAAGGCGACGAUCCUUAGCUGGCCUGAGAGGAUGAUCAGCCACACUGGGACUGAGACACGGCCCAGACCUCCUACGGGAGCAGCAGUAGGGAAUAUUGGACAAGUGGGCGCAAGCCUGACUCCAGCAAUGCCGCGUGAGUGAU